UACGAAGGGUGCAAGCGUUAAUCGGAAUUACUGGGCGUAAAGGGUGCGUAGGCGGUUCGUUAAGUCUGUUGUGAAAUCCCCGGGCUCAACCUGGGAAUGGCAAUGGAUACUGGCGAGCUAGAGUGUGAUAGAGGAUGGUGGAAUUCCCGGUGUAGCGGUGAAAUGCGUAGAGAUCGGGAGGAACAUCAGUGGCGAAGGCGGCCAUCUGGAUCAACACUGACGCUGAAGCACGAAAGCGUGGGGAGCAAACAGG
This 253-nucleotide ribosomal RNA is filed under the name uncultured bacterium. RNAcentral's name for it is "partial 16S ribosomal RNA". It matches the Rfam family "Bacterial small subunit ribosomal RNA", at positions 524 to 776 of the family's 1533-position model. The record is from RNAcentral.